CGUUCAGCAGUACGCGCUGAUUUGUAACAAUCAAACGUGAUUGGUUCUUUUUCUAGAACAAAACAAAUCAAUGUUGAGUAAUGACAAGAUAACAUGUCGGCAUUUGUUCUGCUAAACGAAAGAAAUAAGUGACAAUGUGUGCAAAGUUUCAAUUUUUUAGUUUUCACUCAAGCAACGAAAGUUCUUCUGUAUCACAUGCAUACAUGUAGAAAAGAGAACACAUAAGUCAAGUGCAUUCUACCAAUAGUACUAACAAUAAGAGAAAUCACGCAUUGAGUGUGGAAUCCGAUUUUUGUCGACUCCAGUGUGAUGAAAAUACAUAAUUUUUAAUCAACACUUACGUACAUUAUAUAUUUUUUCUUUUUUAUGUAUACAAAUGGAAAUAUUGCGGAAGAUGUUCGGAAAAUCAUAAGCUUCAUGAGAAAACUCAUUGGCGAUCUGGAACACAAAAUGGGCGGACAGACGCGAGUGUUUCUUGAUGGAGAUAGCAAGAAUUGCAAACGGCGCAAAUGCAAUAUGGGAAAUUUGAUCUGUGAUGCUCUAAGUGAUUAUAUAAGAUUUUUUCAGGCGGCGAAAUACGUUUACAUCAUAAUAUGUGUUUAUUAUUUCACGGGGACGACUGACUUGUAGUCAUAGACCACCUUUCGAACAAGCCAGAUUGCAGAUAUUUGUUGGCAAUACGUUNUUCAACUUAUACGGCGAUAACACGUAUAAAGUGGUGUUUAUAAUUGUAAGAGAUAGAAAUAUUAUCUUAAAUAUGGUAAGUUAUGGAAGGCUCGUAUGUGUUGAAUAUUUAUAUUUGUUGUAAACUAUAAUUUUUAUUUCUCAUCACACGCUAAAACAAUAUGGAAUCCGAUUUUCUUCUUUAUAUUUAAAAAAUUUAUAUCUACUUUAGUUUAUCACUUAAUGUACAAAUCGUACUACUCGGUAAUAUACUCUAUAUACAAAUAUUACAUAAAUAUUACUACGAUCUAAAAAUAUCGUUUUUACUUUGCCGUAACUUACACUGUGUGACAUACUAUAUAAUUGAAACGCGCUUGUAAAAUGUAGGCAAAUUUAAUCUUCAAUCGUCUUUCUACAAGUCAAAGUGAGAAAAACAGCGCAAUCAUGACAACUUACGUGAAUGUAUGUGUGUGCGUAUGUGAUAAACAUAAAGACGUAGCAACUUAGUGAUAAACAUAUCUUUUAACGGUCAUACACAAUUGUUUUUGACGAGUAUAUCUAAAAACAAGUAAUAUUUAUUGUGUAUAAAUCGGAAUCAUGUGUUGUUGUUUAUUUGCGAAAAUCACUUCUUGUUUAUAACAAAAUAAAUUAUAUAGAUUCACAGUA
Pseudomyrmex gracilis is the source of this 1329-nucleotide long non-coding RNA. RefSeq lists it as uncharacterized. The transcript is spliced from 3 exons. The record is from RefSeq and is a predicted model, not a curated record. Lineage: Eukaryota; Metazoa; Arthropoda; Insecta; Hymenoptera; Formicidae.